This 471-nucleotide ribosomal RNA is filed under the name uncultured bacterium. RNAcentral describes it as "bacterial SSU rRNA". It matches the Rfam family "Bacterial small subunit ribosomal RNA", at positions 335 to 799 of the family's 1533-position model. The record is from RNAcentral.
ACUCCUACGGGAGGCAGCAGUGGGGAAUAUUGGACAAUGGGCGCAAGCCUGAUCCAGCAAUACCGCGUGCAGGAAGAAGGCCUUCGGGUUGUAAACUGCUUUUGUACGGAACGAAAAGGUCUUGGUUAAUACCUGGGGCUCAUGACGGUACCUGCAGAAAAAGCACCGGCUAACUACGUGCCAGCAGCCGCGGUAAUACGUAGGGUGCAAGCGUUGUCCGGAAUUAUUGGGCGUAAAGAGCUCGUAGGCGGUUUGUCACGUCUGCUGUGAAAAUCCAAGGCUCAACCUUGGACUUGCAGUGGGUACGGGCAGGCUAGAGUGCGGUAGGGGAGAUGGGAAUUCCUGGUGUAGCGGUGGAAUGCGCAGAUAUCAGGAGGACACCAAUGGCGAAGGCACAUCUCUGGGCCGUAACUGACGCUGAGGAGCGAAAGCGUGGGGAGCAAACAGGAUUAGAUACCCUGGUAGACAUCA